This 780-nucleotide ribosomal RNA is filed under the name uncultured bacterium. RNAcentral describes it as "bacterial SSU rRNA". It matches the Rfam family "Bacterial small subunit ribosomal RNA", at positions 59 to 824 of the family's 1533-position model. The record is from RNAcentral.
CAGUCGAGGGGCAGCAUGGCCUAUCUUUCGGGAUGGGCCGAUGGCGACCGGCGCACGGGUGAGUAACGCGUAUCCAACCUUCCCUUUACUGGGGUCCAGCCCGUCGAAAGGCGGAUUAAUCCCCCAUGUUCUCCGUCCCGGACAUCUGUGUCGGAGCAAAGAUUUAUCGGUAAAGGAUGGGGAUGCGUCCGAUUAGCUUGUUGGCGGGGUAACGGCCCACCAAGGCAUCGAUCGGUAGGGGUUCUGAGAGGAAGGUCCCCCACACUGGAGCUGAGACACGGUCCAGACUCCUACGGGAGGCAGCAGUGAGGAAUAUUGGUCAAUGGACGCAAGUCUGAACCAGCCAAGUAGCGUGCAGGAUGACGGCCCUCCGGGUUGUAAACUGCUUUUAGUUGGGAAUAAAAGGGGGCUCGUGAGCCCCGUAUUGUAUGUACCAUCAGAAAAAGGACCGGCUAAUUCCGUGCCAGCAGCCGCGGUAAUACGGAAGGUCCGGGCGUUAUCCGGAUUUAUUGGGUUUAAAGGGAGCGUAGGCCGGCUUUUAAGUCAGCUGUGAAAGUCCGCGGCUCAACCGUGGAAUUGCAGUUGAAACUGGAGGCCUUGAGUGCACACAGGGAUGCCGGAAUUCAUGGUGUAGCGGUGAAAUGCUUAGAUAUCAUGAAGAACUCCGAUCGCGAAGGCAAGUGUCCGGNGUGCAACUGACGCUGNGGCUCGAAAGUGCGGGUAUCAAACAGGAUUAGAUACCCUGGUAGUCCGCACCGUAAACGAUGAAUACUCGUGUCC